UACGGGGGGAGCAAGCGUUGUUCGGAUUUACUGGGCGUAAAGGGCGCGUAGGCGGCUUAUCAAGUCAGGCGUGAAAUUCCCGGGCUCAACCUGGGGGCUGCGCUUGAUACUGAUGAGCUUGAAUGCGGGAGAGGAUAGUGGAAUUCCCAGUGUAGAGUUGAAAUUCGUAGAUAUUGGGAAGAACACCGGUGGCGAAGGCGGCUAUCUGGCCCGUAAUUGACGCUGAGGCGCGAAAGCGUGGGGAGCAAACAGG
RNAcentral lists this ribosomal RNA (253 nucleotides) under uncultured bacterium. RNAcentral describes it as "partial 16S ribosomal RNA". It matches the Rfam family "Bacterial small subunit ribosomal RNA", at positions 524 to 776 of the family's 1533-position model. The record is from RNAcentral.